UACAGAGGUGGCAAGCGUUGUUCGGAAUUACUGGGCGUAAAGGGCGCGUAGGUGGCCUUCUUAGUCAGACGUGAAAUCCCCGGGCUUAACUCGGGAACUGCGUCUGAUACUGGAAGGCUGGAGUUCGGUAGGGGAGACUGGAAUUCCUGGUGUAGCGGUGAAAUGCGCAGAUAUCAGGAGGAACACCGAUGGCGAAGGCAGGUCUCUGGGCCGAUACUGACGCUGAGGAGCGAAAGCGUGGGGAGCGAACAGG
This 253-nucleotide ribosomal RNA is filed under the name uncultured bacterium. RNAcentral describes it as "partial 16S ribosomal RNA". It matches the Rfam family "Bacterial small subunit ribosomal RNA", at positions 524 to 776 of the family's 1533-position model. The record is from RNAcentral.